CGCUGGCGGCGUGCAUAACACAUGCAAGUCGAACCGAUGAAACUUAGUAGACUUCUUCGGAAAGACACUAAGCGGAUUAGUGGCGAACGGGUGAGUAACGCGUGAGUAACCUGCCUUACACAAGGGGAUAGCUUUGGAAACGAAGAAUAAUACCCUAUAAAACCAUAAAAGCACAUGCUAGAAUGGUCAAAGUGAUAGCGGUGUAAGAUGGACUUGCGUCUGAUUAGCUAGUUGGUGAGAUAAAAGCUCACCAAGGCAACGAUCAGUAGCCGGCUUGAGAGAGUGUACGGCCACAUUGGGACUGAGACACGGCCCAGACUCCUACGGGAGGCAGCAGUGGGGAAUUUUGCACAAUGGGGGAAACCCUGAUGCAGCGACGCCGCGUGAUUUAGAAGGCCUUCGGGUUGUAAAAAUCUUUUGUAUAGGAAGAAAAUGACAGUACUAUACGAAUAAGGUCCGGCUAAUUACGUGCCAGCAGCCGCGGUAAUACGUAAGGACCGAGCGUUGUCCGGAAUCAUUGGGCGUAAAGGGUACGUAGGCGGCUAGAAAAGUUAGAAGUCAAAGGCUAUAGCUCAACUAUAGUAAGCUUCUAAAACUAUUUAGCUUGAGAAAUGGAAGGGAAAGUGGAAUUCCUAGUGUAGCGGUGGAAUGCGCAGAUAUUAGGAAGAAUACCGGUGGCGAAGGCGACUUUCUGGCCAUUAUCUGACGCUGAGGUACGGAAGCGUGGGUAGCAAACAGGAUUAGAUACCCUGGUGGUCCACGCCGUAAACGAUGAGUGUUAGGUGUCUGGAGUCAAAUCUGGGUGCCGCAGCAAACGCAUUAAACACUCCGCCUGGGGAGUACGCACGCAAGUGUGAAACUCAAAUGAAUUGACGGGG
RNAcentral lists this ribosomal RNA (878 nucleotides) under uncultured Bacillota bacterium. Its description in RNAcentral is "bacterial SSU rRNA". It matches the Rfam family "Bacterial small subunit ribosomal RNA", at positions 34 to 918 of the family's 1533-position model. The record is from RNAcentral. Lineage: Bacteria; Bacillati; Bacillota.